This 296-nucleotide ribosomal RNA is filed under the name Mesorhizobium sp. RNAcentral's name for it is "partial 23S ribosomal RNA". It matches the Rfam family "Bacterial large subunit ribosomal RNA", at positions 1 to 219 of the family's 2925-position model. The record is from RNAcentral. Lineage: Bacteria; Pseudomonadati; Pseudomonadota; Alphaproteobacteria; Hyphomicrobiales; Phyllobacteriaceae.
GAUCAAGUGUCUUAAGGGCAAUUGGUGGAUGCCUUGGCAUGCACAGGCGAUGAAGGACGUGAUACGCUGCGAUAAGCUACGGGGAGGUGCGAAUACCCUUUGAUCCGUAGAUCUCCGAAUGGGGAAACCCACCUAAGGUACUUGGAAAAUCAGAGCAGCAGGGCGAUGAUCUCUUUGAGAUCGCGCUGUUUUUGCUGCUGUGGUUUCCAAGUAUCGAUAAUAGGUAACUUAUCCUGAAUACAUAGGGAUAAAGUGGCGAACGCGGGGAACUGAAACAUCUAAGUACCCGUAGGAAA